Lolium perenne is the source of this 457-nucleotide non-coding RNA. NCBI's taxonomy places the organism in Eukaryota, Viridiplantae, Streptophyta, Magnoliopsida, Poales, Poaceae. The record is from RefSeq and is a predicted model, not a curated record.
GGGUAAGAACAUAUGUCUGCAUCCCUGUCAUUUCAGAUUUAAACACUUCACUGGAAGAACCAUCUGUCUACCUGGUGGCUUCCUCAAAAUGAUACGGCCAUUGCCGCACCAAAUUAUCCAUGUGCAUGUCUACGUGACGUACAUCCAGUUUAAUCCUGUCAAUGAGAAGUGGGUUGAUGUGUUGUCCAAAUUGCAUGUCGAUGAUGAGUGGGCAGAGGAGUAACACAUGAUGAAAAUUCCAAUGGAUAACAGAAGAUACAAGCAUCAGGGGCCGUGAAGCCCAUGAGGCGUGAGCGGUUUGGGACGUCGACGGCAGCGAUGACGCCCGGGCGGCCGGUGUGGCAGAGGAGGAUACUGAUGGGGAUGCGGUGUGAGCUGCCGCGGUUCAGCGGGCUCAUACUGUACGAUGAGCAAGGCCGACGCCUCCAUCUCGGCACUCUGGGCAGAAGAAACCAUC